UUAAGCGACUAAGCGUACACGGUGGAUGCCCUGGCAGUCAGAGGCGAUGAAGGACGUGCUAAUCUGCGAUAAGCGUCGGUAAGGUGAUAUGAACCGUUAUAACCGGCGAUUUCCGAAUGGGGAAACCCAGUGUGAUUCGUCACACUAUCAUUAACUGAAUCCAUAGGUUAAUGAGGCGAACCGGGGGAACUGAAACAUCUAAGUACCCCGAGGAAAAGAAAUCAACCGAGAUUCCCCCAGUAGCGGCGAGCGAACGGGGAGCAGCCCAGAGCCUGAAUCAGUGUGUGUGUUAGUGGAAGCGUCUGGAAAGGCGCGCGAUACAGGGUGACAGCCCCGUACACAAAAAUGCACAUGCUGUGAGCUCGAUGAGUAGGGCGGGACACGUGGUAUCCUGUCUGAAUAUGGGGGGACCAUCCUCCAAGGCUAAAUACUCCUGACUGACCGAUAGUGAACCAGUACCGUGAGGGAAAGGCGAAAAGAACCCCGGCGAGGGGAGUGAAAAAGAACCUGAAACCGUGUACGUACAAGCAGUGGGAGCACAGAGCAAUCUGUGUGACUGCGUACCUUUUGUAUAAUGGGUCAGCGACUUAUAUUCUGUAGCAAGGUUAACCGAAUAGGGGAGCCGAAGGGAAACCGAGUCUUAACUGGGCGUUAAGUUGCAGGGUAUAGACCCGAAACCCGGUGAUCUAGCCAUGGGCAGGUUGAAGGUUGGGUAACACUAACUGGAGGACCGAACCGACUAAUGUUGAAAAAUUAGCGGAUGACUUGUGGCUGGGGGUGAAAGGCCAAUCAAACCGGGAGAUAGCUGGUUCUCCCCGAAAGCUAUUUAGGUAGCGCCUCGUGAAUUCAUCUCCGGGGGUAGAGCACUGUUUCGGCAAGGGGGUCAUCCCGACUUACCAACCCGAUGCAAACUGCGAAUACCGGAGAAUGUUAUCACGGGAGACACACGGCGGGUGCUAACGUCCGUCGUGAAGAGGGAAACAACCCAGACCGCCAGCUAAGGUCCCAAAGUCAUGGUUAAGUGGGAAACGAUGUGGGAAGGCCCAGACAGCCAGGAUGUUGGCUUAGAAGCAGCCAUCAUUUAAAGAAAGCGUAAUAGCUCACUGGUCGAGUCGGCCUGCGCGGAAGAUGUAACGGGGCUAAACCAUGCACCGAAGCUGCGGCAGCGACGCUUAUGCGUUGUUGGGUAGGGGAGCGUUCUGUAAGCCUGCGAAGGUGUGCUGUGAGGCAUGCUGGAGGUAUCAGAAGUGCGAAUGCUGACAUAAGUAACGAUAAAGCGGGUGAAAAGCCCGCUCGCCGGAAGACCAAGGGUUCCUGUCCAACGUUAAUCGGGGCAGGGUGAGUCGACCCCUAAGGCGAGGCCGAAAGGCGUAGUCGAUGGGAAACAGGUUAAUAUUCCUGUACUUGGUGUUACUGCGAAGGGGGGACGGAGAAGGCUAUGUUGGCCGGGCGACGGUUGUCCCGGUUUAAGCGUGUAGGCUGGUUUUCCAGGCAAAUCCGGAAAAUCAAGGCUGAGGCGUGAUGACGAGGCACUACGGUGCUGAAGCAACAAAUGCCCUGCUUCCAGGAAAAGCCUCUAAGCAUCAGGUAACAUCAAAUCGUACCCCAAACCGACACAGGUGGUCAGGUAGAGAAUACCAAGGCGCUUGAGAGAACUCGGGUGAAGGAACUAGGCAAAAUGGUGCCGUAACUUCGGGAGAAGGCACGCUGAUAUGUAGGUGAAGUCCCUCACGGAUGGAGCUGAAAUCAGUCGAAGAUACCAGCUGGCUGCAACUGUUUAUUAAAAACACAGCACUGUGCAAACACGAAAGUGGACGUAUACGGUGUGACGCCUGCCCGGUGCCGGAAGGUUAAUUGAUGGGGUUAGCGCAAGCGAAGCUCUUGAUCGAAGCCCCGGUAAACGGCGGCCGUAACUAUAACGGUCCUAAGGUAGCGAAAUUCCUUGUCGGGUAAGUUCCGACCUGCACGAAUGGCGUAAUGAUGGCCAGGCUGUCUCCACCCGAGACUCAGUGAAAUUGAACUCGCUGUGAAGAUGCAGUGUACCCGCGGCAAGACGGAAAGACCCCGUGAACCUUUACUAUAGCUUGACACUGAACAUUGAGCCUUGAUGUGUAGGAUAGGUGGGAGGCUUUGAAGUGUGGACGCCAGUCUGCAUGGAGCCGACCUUGAAAUACCACCCUUUAAUGUUUGAUGUUCUAACGUGGACCCGUAAUCCGGGUUGCGGACAGUGUCUGGUGGGUAGUUUGACUGGGGCGGUCUCCUCCUAAAGAGUAACGGAGGAGCACGAAGGUUGGCUAAUCCUGGUCGGACAUCAGGAGGUUAGUGCAAUGGCAUAAGCCAGCUUGACUGCGAGCGUGACGGCGCGAGCAGGUGCGAAAGCAGGUCAUAGUGAUCCGGUGGUUCUGAAUGGAAGGGCCAUCGCUCAACGGAUAAAAGGUACUCCGGGGAUAACAGGCUGAUACCGCCCAAGAGUUCAUAUCGACGGCGGUGUUUGGCACCUCGAUGUCGGCUCAUCACAUCCUGGGGCUGAAGUAGGUCCCAAGGGUAUGGCUGUUCGCCAUUUAAAGUGGUACGCGAGCUGGGUUUAGAACGUCGUGAGACAGUUCGGUCCCUAUCUGCCGUGGGCGCUGGAGAACUGAGGGGGGCUGCUCCUAGUACGAGAGGACCGGAGUGGACGCAUCACUGGUGUUCGGGUUGUCAUGCCAAUGGCACUGCCCGGUAGCUAAAUGCGGAAGAGAUAAGUGCUGAAAGCAUCUAAGCACGAAACUUGCCCCGAGAUGAGUUCUCCCUGACCCUUUAAGGGUCCUGAAGGAACGUUGAAGACGACGACGUUGAUAGGCCGGGUGUGUAAGCGCAGCGAUGCGUUGAGCUAACCGGUACUAAUGAACCGUGAGGCUUAACCUU
RNAcentral lists this ribosomal RNA (2904 nucleotides) under Escherichia coli. RNAcentral describes it as "bacterial LSU rRNA". It matches the Rfam family "Bacterial large subunit ribosomal RNA". Lineage: Bacteria; Pseudomonadati; Pseudomonadota; Gammaproteobacteria; Enterobacterales; Enterobacteriaceae. The record is from RNAcentral.